AGCAGCCGCGGUAAUUCCAGCUCCAAUAGCGUAUAUUAAAGUUGUUGCAGUUAAAAAGCUCGUAGUUGAAUUUCGGGAUCAAAGAAUCGGUCAUGCCUUGGUAUGUACUGGUUUUAUUGGUUCUCACCUUCUAAAGAACCAUGAUGUCAUUCAUUUGAUGUUAUGGGGAAUUAGGACUGUUACCUUGAAAAAAUUAGAGUGUUUAAAGCAAGCUUACGCUUGAAUACAUUAGCAUGGAAUAAUGAAAUAGGACAUCAGAUUCUAUUUUGUUGGUUUCUAGGAUCGAUGUAAUGAUUAAUAGGGAUAGUUGGGGGCAUUAGUAUUCAAUUGUCAGAGGUGAAAUUCUUGGAUUUAUUGAAGACUAACUACUGCGAAAGCAUUUGCCAAGGAUGUUUUCAUUAAUCAAGAACGAAAGUUAGGGGAUCGAAGACGAUCAGAUACCGUCGUAGUCUUAACCAUAAACUAUGCCGACUAGGGAUCGGAUGAUGUUAAUUUUUUCAAUGACUCAUUCGGCGCCUUA
This 520-nucleotide unclassified non-coding RNA is filed under the name uncultured Glomus. RNAcentral describes it as "SSU rRNA". It matches the Rfam family "Eukaryotic small subunit ribosomal RNA", at positions 569 to 1090 of the family's 1831-position model. Lineage: Eukaryota; Fungi; Glomeromycota; Glomeromycetes; Glomerales; Glomeraceae. The record is from RNAcentral.